CCUACGAGUGGCUGCAGUGAGGAAUAUUGGUCAAUGGGCGCGAGCCUGAACCAGCCAAGUAGCGUGAAGGAUGACUGCCCUACGGGUUGUAAACUUCUUUUAUAAAAGAAUAAAGUGAGGCACGUGUGCCUUUUUGUAUGUACUUUAUGAAUAAGGAUCGGCUAACUCCGUGCCAGCAGCCGCGGUAAUACGGAGGAUCCGAGAGUUAUCCGGAUUUAUUGGGUUUAAAGGGAGCGUAGAUGGGUUGUUAAGUCAGUUGUGAAAGUUUGCGGCUCAACCGUAAAAUUGCAAUUGAUACUGGCAGUCUUGAGUACAGUUGAGGUAGGCGGAAUUCGUGGUGUAGCGGUGAAAUGCUUAGAUAUCACGAAGAACUCCGAUUGCGAAGGCAGCUUACUAAACUGCCACUGACAUUGAUGCUCGAAAGUGUGGGUAUCAAACAGGAUUAGAUACCCGAGUAGUC
This 460-nucleotide ribosomal RNA is filed under the name uncultured bacterium. Its description in RNAcentral is "partial 16S ribosomal RNA". It matches the Rfam family "Bacterial small subunit ribosomal RNA", at positions 338 to 795 of the family's 1533-position model. The record is from RNAcentral.